Molecule: long non-coding RNA, 1501 nt
Organism: Oreochromis niloticus (Nile tilapia)
Lineage: Eukaryota; Metazoa; Chordata; Actinopteri; Cichliformes; Cichlidae
Exons: 3
Source: RefSeq, a predicted model, not a curated record
AACACACACAAGACCCGUAAUACAUGCAGAUGGGAGCGGUGUGAGGGAGCGAUGAGCAGGGAAUCCUUGUGCAGAGCUUUGGUCCAGGCCUGGGCUGAUCGCUGGCAGGACCAUUCCUCAUCCUGAUACCGCAUGGAGGUUGCAUUCACAAUGAAGCAUUUGAAAGCCCAUUAGCUCCACUUUCCAGCAUCGUAAAGCCAACAGCAACCUGAUAUCAUCAGUAACAGUCCACGAGAAGAUGACAGCCAGACGACAAGUGAGAUGUGGACAGACUAAAGGAGCUGAGAGAACGAAGAGAUAUCGGUGAUGGGAACAAAUUGAAACAAAAUGGCGGGCGAUACGCUGCGAGGAGAUGCUUGGGGAGAUGCCAUGCGGGCCAGUGGUGAGAAUUUACAGCAUGAGACGCAUCAUCAUGGGUCGUCUUAGAUAAUGAUCGCUUUUGAGAAGCAAUCCUCGACAUUUUACUUAUGCUGUUUCGGCAAUGGGAAAAGAACAGCAAUACACCUGUUGAGAGUCAUUUACAGUGACAUUUAAAGAUCUUUCAGCUCAUGAAAAGCUCCUUUUCAGUUAUAAUUUGAAAACCAUUAAAGUUCACCAGACGUGACCUGUGUCCUCAGUCUCCACGUCUUCAUAAUGUUCUGCCCGCGAAGCCCUGAGGGAGGCGACAGCGGUUUCAAAGUGAAACGGCUCCUGCUGCAAUCUGUGCUCCAUAUGUCAUUAAGCCCAUUAGGGAAACACUUGGUUAACAUUAGAGCCAGAGUACCAGCCUUUGCUAUGGGAACAGUCGUGGGUCGACAUAAAAGCGGCGUCUCACUUGGUCUCGCUUCCUCUCUUUGUCUGGCUGCCUGUAUUAACUAGCCAUUGUCUUGUUUUUCACCCUCACCACUAUGCUUUCUGAAAUGCAUCCUCCAUUUCCUCACUGUGAGUCAUUUCUCUUUCACUCAGCUCUUUUUUUUUCUGCCUUCAACCUUCACUGGUUAUACAUUUUGCCACUGGGGGCAGUAGAAGAAAAGAUGUUGGUUUUGUUUGAACAGCAUUUAGACAGUACUCUUUGUCAGUGUGGAGUAAUGACAGCCUGUGUAAAUGACCUUCCUUUCACUGGCAUGGAAUGUUUUGUUGCUCCCUUUCCAUUGUAUCCCUGCAUGAUACUUCAAACAGAAAAAUUUAGACUUUCGUGACACUGAGUAGUCUUCGUGGUCAACAAAUCAUAAAUUUUGCUGGACUCAGGUGAUAGAAGUAAUCAAAAAAAAAAGAAAAAGAAAAACAGCCUAUCAUAAUGUUCUCUUGAGGAAACCAGGAAACCGAUAUGGCAUUUUCACCUAGAGGUCAGGUGGAGGUCAGCAUUGAGUGUCAUGCCCCUGCUCUACACCCCCCAACACACACGCCCCUCCCUUCCCUUCUCUGCCUCCUUCUCCAUUCCUGUGACAAAGAGAGCCAGUUCGGUUGCCAAGGAAACAGGCUUUUUCCAUGGCGAUGCUGGAACACGUGGGAAGGGCAGGGC